ACGCUGGCGGCGUGCCUAAUACAUGCAAGUCGAGCGAACGGACGGGAAGCUUGCUUCUCUGAUGUUAGCGGCGGACGGGUGAGUAACACGUGGAUAACCUACCUAUAAGACUGGGAUAACUUCGGGAAACCGGAGCUAAUACCGGAUAAUAUUUUGAACCGCAUGGUUCAAAAGUGAAAGACGGUCUUGCUGUCACUUAUAGAUGGAUCCGCGCUGCAUUAGCUAGUUGGUAAGGUAACGGCUUACCAAGGCAACGAUGCAUAGCCGACCUGAGAGGGUGAUCGGCCACACUGGAACUGAGACACGGUCCAGACUCCUACGGGAGGCAGCAGUAGGGAAUCUUCCGCAAUGGGCGAAAGCCUGACGGAGCAACGCCGCGUGAGUGAUGAAGGUCUUCGGAUCGUAAAACUCUGUUAUUAGGGAAGAACAUAUGUGUAAGUAACUGUGCACAUCUUGACGGUACCUAAUCAGAAAGCCACGGCUAACUACGUGCCAGCAGCCGCGGUAAUACGUAGGUGGCAAGCGUUAUCCGGAAUUAUUGGGCGUAAAGCGCGCGUAGGCGGUUUUUUAAGUCUGAUGUGAAAGCCCACGGCUCAACCGUGGAGGGUCAUUGGAAACUGGAAAACUUGAGUGCAGAAGAGGAAAGUGGAAUUCCAUGUGUAGCGGUGAAAUGCGCAGAGAUAUGGAGGAACACCAGUGGCGAAGGCGACUUUCUGGUCUGUAACUGACGCUGAUGUGCGAAAGCGUGGGGAUCAAACAGGAUUAGAUACCCUGGUAGUCC
RNAcentral lists this ribosomal RNA (781 nucleotides) under uncultured bacterium. RNAcentral's name for it is "bacterial SSU rRNA". It matches the Rfam family "Bacterial small subunit ribosomal RNA", at positions 33 to 796 of the family's 1533-position model. The record is from RNAcentral.